AUUGAACGCUGGCGGCAGGCCUAACACAUGCAAGUCGAGCGGAUGAAGGGAGCUUGCUUCUGGAUUCAGCGGCGGACGGGUGAGUAAUGCCUAGGAAUCUGCCUGGUAGUUGGGGAUAACGUCCGGAAACGGGCGCUAAUACCGCAUCCGUCCUGAGGGUGAAAGUGGGGGAUCUUCGGACCUCACGCUAUCAGAUGAGCCUAGGUCGGAUUAGCUAGUUGGUGGGGUAAAGGCCUACCAAGGCGACGAUCCGUAACUGGUCUGAGAGGAUGAUCAGUCACACUGGAACUGAGACACGGUCCAGACUCCUACGGGAGGCAGCAGUGGGGAAUAUUGGACAAUGGGCGAAAGCCUGAUCCAGCCAUGCCGCGUGUGUGAAGAAGGUCUUCGGAUUGUAAAGCACUUUAAGUUGGGAGGAAGGGCAGUAAGUUAAUACCUUGCUGUAUUGACGUUACCAACAGAAUAAGCACCGGCUAACUUCGUG
RNAcentral lists this ribosomal RNA (484 nucleotides) under uncultured bacterium. Its description in RNAcentral is "partial 16S ribosomal RNA". It matches the Rfam family "Bacterial small subunit ribosomal RNA", at positions 30 to 507 of the family's 1533-position model. The record is from RNAcentral.